This 614-nucleotide long non-coding RNA is filed under the name Oryza brachyantha (malo sina). RNAcentral describes it as "long non-coding RNA (OBRA_LNC001249)". Lineage: Eukaryota; Viridiplantae; Streptophyta; Magnoliopsida; Poales; Poaceae. The record is from RNAcentral.
UGAACCGGUAAUAAUAAAGAUAAAAACGGGUUUACCUAUGAUUUUUUUUGUCAUUUCGUUCAUUUUUUCUAUAACUUAUUAGACAUAGCUCAACCGGCUUUGGCCCCCUUUAACCACCACGUUGAAUGAAUCCAUGUGUUAAUUAGGCGACAAGACGAACGGUAUCACCGAUCGGUGCGUGCAUUCGGUGAGAUGGAAAGGACGAUGCCGUAGAUCCCCAAAUCUGAAAGAACCCUGACAAAACAAAUCAAGUCAAUGCUGCUGCUGCUGCCAUUGCCAUUGCCAUUGCCAACCGCCAGAGGCAAAAUGAUUAGAGCAGCAAUCACACAAGCUGGUUAAGCAGAACUGGAUUGAUGCAGAGAAGAGAUCGAAUAGUUUAUAAUGUAAUUAGCCGGUACAGCAUUAUUAUUUAGUGCGUGCUCACAUGUAGAAGCCUCACCAGCCAUGUUCUGAUUGUGAAACCUAUCCUCUGCUAGACUGCUACCAUCCAUUGACAUGCUGGAUUCCUGGCCGUCCAAAACUGCAGAGGAUCUGAAAAUAUGAACUGCUGUAGAUCUGUUUCAGAAGCAAGAAGAAAUUGUCAACUGCUAAGUGGCCAUUGAUUUGAAGCAAUG